UACGUAGGGUGCGAGCGUUGUCCGGAAUUAUUGGGCGUAAAGAGCUCGUAGGUGGUUUGUCGCGUUGUUCGUGAAAACUCACAGCUCAACUGUGGGCGUGCGGGCGAUACGGGCAGACUAGAGUACUGCAGGGGAGACUGGAAUUCCUGGUGUAGCGGUGGAAUGCGCAGAUAUCGGGAGGAACACCGGUGGCGAAGGCGGUUCUCUGGGCCUGUUCUGACGCUGAGGAGCGAAAGCGUGGGGAGCGAACAGG
Molecule: ribosomal RNA, 253 nt
Filed under: uncultured bacterium
Lineage: Bacteria
Description: partial 16S ribosomal RNA
Rfam family: Bacterial small subunit ribosomal RNA
Source: RNAcentral